AUUCCGGUUGAUCCUGCCGGACCCGACCGCUAUCGGGGUGGGGCUAAGCCAUGCAAGUCAGGGCUCCGGGCAAUGGCGGGGCCCGGCGGACGGCUCAGUAGCACGUGGCUAACCUACCCUCGGGACGGGGAUAUCCCCGGGAAACUGGGGGUAAUCCCCGAUAGGUGCGGACUCCUGGAAUGGGUCCGCGCCGAGAGGGGUGCAGCGCCACGCCCGCUGCACCCGCCCGAGGAUGGGGCUGCGCCCCAUCAUGGUAGUUGGCGGGGUAACGGCCCGCCAAGCCGAAGACGGGUGGGGGCCGUGAGAGCGGGAGCCCCGAGAUGGGCACUGAGACAAGGGCCCAGGCCCUACGGGGCGCAGCAGGCGCGAAACCUCCGCAAUGCGGGAACCGCGACGGGGUCACCCCGAGUGCCGCCCGAUGAGGGCGGCUUUUCCCCGGUGUAAGAAGCCGGGGGAAUAAGCGGGGGGCAAGUCUGGUGUCAGCCGCCGCGGUAAUACCAGCCCCGCGAGUGGUCGGGACUUUUAUUGGGCCUAAAGCGUCCGUAGCCGGCCCGGUAAGUCCCUCCUCAAAGCCCACGGCUCAACCGUGGGACGGGAGGGAUACUGCCGGGCUAGGGGGCGGGAGAGGCCGGGGGUACUCCCGGGGUAGGGGCGAAAUCCGUUAAUCCCGGGAGGACCGCCAGUGGCGAAGCGCCCGGGCUGGAACGCGCCCGACGGUGAGGGACGAAAGCUGGGGGGGAGCAAAGGGGAUUAGAUACCCCCCGUUAGUUCCCAGCUUGUUAACGUCUG
Molecule: ribosomal RNA, 789 nt
Filed under: uncultured crenarchaeote
Lineage: Archaea; Thermoproteati; Thermoproteota
Description: bacterial SSU rRNA
Rfam family: Archaeal small subunit ribosomal RNA
Source: RNAcentral